Non-coding RNA from Rhodofomes roseus, 82 nucleotides. The record is from the annotation of a RefSeq genome assembly. Lineage: Eukaryota; Fungi; Basidiomycota; Agaricomycetes; Polyporales; Fomitopsidaceae.
GGUUCAGUGGUGUAGUUGGUUAUCACAUCUGUCUCACAUUGGUGUUCACAGGAGGUCCCCGGUUCGAGCCCGGACUGAACCA